AUAUGUGAGCACUGCCUCAAGUAGUACUGAAGAAAUUACCUCUGAAAAUUUUUGGCACACCCAUCAAACAAUCAUUCCCUUGCAUGUUGACACAGACUUUAUGUAUGUGCUCUAGUAUAGCAUAUGUCACCUGGCUGGCUUUCUCUGUCCAUCUACCUCAACUUUCUUGGUUCAUGAAUUUUUAUUUUCUAAGGAAUAAAAGCAGUAUGUGGCACAUGAUAAAUACUUAAUUGAAAAAGUACCAUUGGUCCUUAGUGUUACCAUACAUCUGUCUUCUAACAGUUUAUAACCUCUCAUACGCUUUCCUCCUAGGUAUGUAGCACAGUGCUAUUAUACUGAGUAGACACUUAAAAGAUGAAUUACUAAAUUGGAAGAGAAACCUAGAAAAUUGAAUUCCUUUUCUGAGUAUCUUAAAUUGGGUGAGGAACCUUUUUCUUUCUUCCAGGGGCCAUUUAAAACAUCAUUCCCGGGCCGUACAAAUUACCAACUUAAAAAUUAGCCUAUAUUUGGUCAAACAUUUAAUUAACUUACCCCUAAUGCCUUAGCAGGACCAGACCAAAUGAUUUUUCGGGUCAAACUUGUACCCCACCUGUCUUAAAUAAAGAACCAGUAAAUGUAGGUCUCAAUUUUAAGUUGGGACUAAAUCCCUAUACAAGUUAUACUUACUGUGCAAUAGAACUAAAUAUUUAGAACAUUUUCCAUAUUGUGAUCUAGAGUGUUUUUUUUUUUAAGACAUUAAAAAAUUUUUUUGUAUCACUAAUUCUUGGCCACAGUACCAUUGUAUCUAACUUAAGCUAGACUAUAGAGAUGUGUUUUCUUGUCAAAUGGAAUUCUUUAAAAUCCUGUUUGGAUUUGUCCUCCAUCUCCAUUUGCCAUAUCAGCAUCCUUGUCUGUGCAUCCACAUUUAUUACUAAAAUGUCUUACCUUAUUUCACUGACUCCAGUCUCUAUCCUGGCCAUUAAGUCUGAUCUUCCUAAAACAUGUCACUUCACCUAAUAUGAAUCAAUGGAUUAUAGUCUACCUUUUAAAUUUAUCACUAUUCUCAAUCACAUCUUCCCCUGAUCUGAUUGAUCUGGCAAAUACUGACCAUGCUUGUUUUUGCUUCUGUACUUACAUUUUCAGACUUCUUCCUUCCCCCCACUUUAGCAGUCACCUGCAGCUUUAAAUCCUGGUCAUCCUCAAAGUUCAUUUCUGCAACUAUGAAAAAUAAGCUGCUAAACCCAAAUAAUAGCUGUCUUCUCUGAUGCAUUUAGUCUCUUCACAAUUUAUUACUGUGGAAUGUUUUGUGUUAAUUUUUCAUGCCCUAUGGAAUUUUUGUAAUAUUUGUAUUUCCCAAUGAGCCAAAUGCAAUGCUGUCAGUUUAAUAAAUGUUGAUUGAACAAGA
This is a long non-coding RNA of Myotis davidii, 1384 nucleotides long. RefSeq lists it as uncharacterized. The record is from RefSeq and is a predicted model, not a curated record. NCBI's taxonomy places the organism in Eukaryota, Metazoa, Chordata, Mammalia, Chiroptera, Vespertilionidae. The transcript has 3 exons.